Molecule: long non-coding RNA, 1809 nt
Organism: Malurus melanocephalus (red-backed fairy wren)
Lineage: Eukaryota; Metazoa; Chordata; Aves; Passeriformes; Maluridae
Exons: 7
Source: RefSeq, a predicted model, not a curated record
UGGGAAUUGCUGCCAGUGAGAGCUGCUCUGAGGGGAAGGCAGUGGCUGUUUACCUGCCCUGCUCAGCCAGCCCAGGGAGCACAGGAGAAAGAUUGAAUGGCAUUCCUUCCUCAAAAUAACUAUUUUCCUGUGACAUGGCUGGGAAGAAAGAAGGAAUCCCAUUGACAUUCCCGUUGGUGAAAGUCAGAACAUGAGGGUCUGGAUCACAUCCAGUAGCAGAGCUAAAACCAGUCCUGUGUCAAGAUGAUGUAACCACCGGGGGGUUGCAGAUGCCAAGCACAGGAGGGCAUAUCCAGAGCUCUCAUGAGGAGACUGAAGCCAYGGGCUGGAUUUGCUGAGGUCAGUGAAACUUCUUCUGCCUUAUUGGGAGCAAAUAUGGACUGGAGUGCCAAGAUAGAAGUUUAGCAGCCUGCCUUCAAAGCCUACUGUAGACAGGAGAAAGUUUCUUCAGGACUUGAGUGGCCCAGGAGCCAGUCCCUUUCAUUCACACUCGGUGCUUCCCGACAGAAGACAGUGACGUGACAGGAACGGUGACACAGGGCUCUUACUGUUCCAUUCAAUAAUUGAUUCUCCUGGAUGGAUUGUGACUCCCUAAAGGUUGCAAAGAGAGAAGCAGUGAUACAYGUUCUUCAGUUAUACACAGAUGAAUGUGCAUUCCAUGUGCUGUUUUCAGCUGUGUACUCACACCAGCCCAAAAUCCCAAAGAGAAAAGGCAAAGCUGAGAUUCACAUCAGUAGCAARGAACAUCAGGUGAUGUUGAUUUAAAGAAAACAUUAAUCAAUCCAGAUUUGCUUGGAACCGGGCCCAGGUUCUCUCAACAGGUUGGUGAACCUUAGCAAAUGUUUCUGUGAAUCUGUUCUGUGUUUUGACUUUGUAACGUGAUCUGAAAUCAUCUGAGUUUCAUGUGGUUUYGUUGUGCACGCUUUGGAGCGCUCGUGGGGCGAAUCCAGGGAGAGACUGAGGUGCUAAAUUUUGCAUGACGUGCUAAGGAAAGGUAACAAGCCAUGCAGUGAGAGUGAUGGCAACUCACUACAACUGGGGAAAAAAACCCAAACAGCCAGAGCAGGUGUCACUGCAAGCAGAAAAAGUUGAAUUAUCCUGCUGCUUACCAAGAGGAGCAAAACAGUGUAAGAGCAUUGGUUCAUGGGCAUUCCUUGGAUUCACACUGGACCCUGGAAGCAGAUUUGUUCCCUGUGGAUGCAGAAGCAUCAUGGUAACUCCCCCCAGGUACAGUCAAUUUUUUCAGGACAGUCAGUUAUUUUUCCUGAGGUGCAAUAUCUGAUCUCAGGGUGUUCUACAAAWCCAUCAUCUGCAAAUGACACAUUUUUUAAACAAUGCGUGAAUGCCUACUUAGUUCACACUUAGCUCACAGAGGUUUGGAAAGCUUGAUGCACUCUAUUGAGUAAAUAACUAUAAAUAAAACAGGCUAUUAAAAAAUCUUUAAAUGUGCAUUAUGCCAUYGAGCUAUGCUGUUUGGAAAGAGCUGUGGUGUUUGGGAAAUAUUAAACAUUUUCAACAACUGUCCAAAUACAUGUUUACACAUAGUUUAUGAAGUACACAAAGAUAUGUCUGUGGCAACUUUUGGGCCCCAACAGGUUUUAAUAAUUACUCUUUGAAUUCAGUAUUUUCAGUCACUUAAACACUUCAAAUGGACAGGAGGCAGCUAAUUAUAGAGAGAAAUGCUGAUUUCAAGGGAGCUUGGAACUUACUUCUCCAAAAACCUUUAGCAGCAGAUGGCAAAAUAUUGAUAUGAGAUGAAUGGRAUAGUCCUGUGUGGGGAGGGGACAGAAAAUUGUCAUUCAUGUAGGC